This is an RNA transcript of Gallus gallus (chicken), 4926 nucleotides long. It is a transcript of the gene named tropomodulin 3, with no coding region annotated. The transcript has 11 exons. The record is from RefSeq and is marked provisional. Lineage: Eukaryota; Metazoa; Chordata; Aves; Galliformes; Phasianidae.
GGGGCGGUGCUGCGUGUCGCGGCUGGGAGGCGGCUGUGGGAGCUGAGUCGCUGCCGCCUGCCCGGGUGAGUGGGGAGCGGCCGGGACCGGGACGGGACACGGGGGUCGGUUGGGCUGUCCGGGUAGCGCUGGCGAAGGGGACGCGGGGCGGGAGAGAGGCGAGCGGAGCGCUCCGUGCGCGGCCCGGGAGCGGGAGCCCGGCGGGAGCGGCCGCUGCUGCAGCCCCGCCGCCCGGCGGAGGGAGGGGGCCGGGUGGGUCGGGGCGCGGGCCCGGCCCGCUGCCCUCUGCGGCCCCGACCGCCGCUCCGUGCGUCCCUCCCCCGGCGCCGGCGGCCCGCGCCGCUCCCAGCCGCGCCCGCCCGCUCCCUCUCCUCGCGCCCCGGCCCGGCUGGGCGGCUCCCGCCGCUCCUCUCGGCCGGGCGGCCCCGGGGCGGCUGUACGGGGCCCUGGGGGCCGCGCCGUGCGCUGCCUCGGCCCGGGUGCGCUGCGGACUGCCCCGCUCGGCCGGGCGGUCCCGGAGCUGCGGUUGUGGGAGCUCUGCCUGUAGGUCUGGUCAGCUCACGUCUGUCAGCAAGCUGCAUGUUUUGUGCAGCUUACAAAGCGUGUGCGUGAGUGGCACUCGGUGAGGAAGAACGCUUUUCCGGUGGCUGCUAGAGGGGUGCUCGGCAUGCUGCUGACAUGAGAGUCUUCCGGUAGUGAGCACCGUGCUGCUGGGGCUUUGAAGCGUUAAAUACAACAGAUCUGGUUAAGAAUAAGACUCGGGUUCUGAAGCAUUUGAGCAGCUUGUUACUGCCCAAGUCAUGACGCUCCCGUUUCGAAAAGACUUGGACAAGUACAAAGAUCUUGAUGAGGAUGACAUUCUAGGCAAACUAUCAGAAGAAGAACUGAAACAGCUGGAAACGGUUUUGGAUGAUCUUGACCCUGAGAAUGCACUUCUGCCUGCAGGCUUCCGACAGAAGGACCAGACUGCUAAAAAGGCCUCGGGUCCUUUUGACAGAGAACGACUCCUUGCAUAUUUGGAGAAGCAAGCUCUUGAGCACAAAGACAGGGAAGACUACGUGCCUUUUACAAAAGAAAAGAAAGGGAAAGUAUUUAUCCCGAAGCAAAAGCCUGCCCAGUCUUAUGCAGAAGAAAAAAUUGCUCUUGAUCCAGAACUAGAGGAAGCCUUGACAAGUGCCACAGACACAGAGCUAUGUGACCUCGCAGCUAUACUGGGAAUGUCCAACUUGAUAACAAACAAUCAGUUCUGUGAUAUAGUAGGAAGCAGUAAUGGGGUUGGCAAAGACAGCUUUUCAAAUAUAGUAAAAGGUGAAAAAAUGUUACCUGUUUUUGAUGAACCACCAAAUCCCACAAAUGUGGAGGAGACUCUGCAGAGGAUUAAAGAUAAUGAUUCCCGUCUUGUUGAAGUUAAUCUAAAUAACAUCAAGAACAUACCAAUUCCAACGCUGAAAGAAUUUGCAAAAGCUUUAGAAACCAACACACAUGUGAAGAAUUUUAGCCUUGCAGCCACCCGAAGUAAUGAUCCUGUUGCUGUUGCUCUUGCAGAUAUGCUGAGAGUAAACACAAAAUUAAAAAGUUUAAACAUAGAAUCAAACUUCAUCACCGGAGUUGGAAUUUUGGCACUGGUCGAUGCACUGAAAGACAAUGAAACACUGACAGAGAUCAAAAUUGAUAAUCAGAGGCAGCAGCUGGGUACUCUUGCAGAAGUAGAAAUUGCCAAGAUGCUUGAAGAAAACACCAAGAUCCUUAAAUUUGGAUACCAUUUCACACAACAGGGACCUCGAGCCAGGGCAGCUGCAGCUAUCACAAAAAACAAUGACUUGGUCUGGAGUAGCCGAGUAAAAAUUUCUGCAAAUACCUUUUCACCUCUCCAGCCCUGAAGCUACAGAGACAGGUUACUCUGAGUGCCCACUUGGGUGUCAAGCACUGAAAACCAAGAUGCUCAGUCUUUCUGCUGUCUUUUUCGCAAGAGAAGGGUUGAAGGAGAUGGCCAGUAGAUCUUGUUAGAACUGUGUGAAGAUUUCAAGGGUCUUCAAAGCACGCUCCUCACGGUGGGCUUUGGCAAUCUUGGACUGCAUUUACCUGGGUUAGAAGGGAAAAGACUGGAAACCCCAUUCCUUUUAAAGCAAAGCUAUAUUAAUAAUCUGCUGGUAUGCAUCACAUUUUUCAUAACCACACCAAUCCAUGUACAGAUCCAGUUUUUGAUUGUUUUUGUUUGUUUUUUUUAAAGAACUUUUUUGUAUUUUAAGACCUUGGCUUUGCUUUCUACUAAAAAUGUAAUCGCAAAUCAAUUGUAUAGUUGUCUGUAGUCAAAGAAUGGGACAUUCAAGAUCAUUGGGCAUAUAAUGACCCGAUUGAAAUGUUAGAAAAUCUAGGGGUUCUCAUUUACAUGAAGGGGUUUGUAUGUUCUUGAGAACAAUGCUUCAGUGAUGAUGGAUUUUCACACAAUGGUUGGACUCAUUGUUUGGAGCUGUUCAUCCUUGUUCAUAUGCACUGAAGGGAAAUCUUUCACAAUUGUCUUAUUUGUGUAUUUUUUUGUUUUGAUUUGUUCUUGAUACUGUGAUGAAGUGUAAACAUCCCUUAAAAACAGGCAAAAAUACAUUGAUUUGAGGGACUAAUUAAAAAAAACUGGGAGUCUUGCAAAAAAAAAAAAAAAUUAAAAGCCUUGCAAAGUGGGUUUUUCCUUAUACACUUAAGUCCUAAAAGUCUUUUAAAAUGUCCCGGAAUUGUAACUUGCUCUGUAUCUAAACUGGACACCUUUAGACUAUCAUGUGCUCAUCAGCAUUUAGUUCAUAGCCUUCGUUUAAAAAUUCUUAUCUACAUGCAUAACUAGUAUGAAUUUCUCUAGAAGUAGUGGACAAGCUUUUGUUAAAUUUGCCUAAUUUUGUACAGGAGAAACAACCUUAAUUAUAAAAAUCAGUGUCCUAAGUUUCUGGCAAAUGAAAAAUCCUUUUUUACAAGCUAUUGCAUUAAAUUGUUAGUGCUUCAUAUAAAUGUAUAAUUUUUCAUGAAACAAUGAAGUAAUGCUUUCUUGAAAGGCUUGAUGUUUGAAACACUACAACUUGGAGAAAUUAACCAAUGUGUAGUGUCAAAUUUGCAUAGUACAGUACUUAUUCAAGCAUUUCAAGUUCUGUAUCUAUGCCAACUAAUAAGGCCACAAGGAACACUUAAAUUUCUGUACAUAAUCAAAGUACAUGUAUUUGAAAUAAUGAAAAUCUAGGGGCUUUUUGCUGUGGGCCUAUUUGGACUGUACCAUACCAAGCUUACUUAACGUUGUCAUGAGACCUUAAAUUAACAAAAUAUCCUGAUGGACUGCUCAGAUAUAUUUAUGAGAACUCAACUGACAACUCUUUUCAUCAAAGGAUCAUCGUAUGGUGAGCAUUUUAUAUAUGGGAAAAUAUAGGACUGAAACUUUUGCAUCACGUUGUAUGUACUAUAAAAAUUAACAGAGCAAUCCUCUGACACUGUGCCUGUGUUACAACUUUCUGCAAAUGAUGUCUUGGAUUUUAGACAGACUUUAUUCUGCAGAUGACUUCCAAUUUUACUGCAACUGUACAGCAAAUUCGAAACUGUAGUGCCUUCAAUGAAGAUGUAUUUAACUGGUUUAUGACUGUGGAGGAACAUAUUUUUUCUUUCUCAAAAUUGGUCUAUUAUUGAAUAAUUACAAAUAGAUGUGUGCUCUGAAAAGCUAUUGGAAUCAAUUCUAUUAAAACCAAAGACUUUACAGAGUGUAAGUUUGAAGCAACCAGAAAUGAUCUGAUGACUAGUAGCAAUAAAAAAGGCUUCUUUUGGUUUUGGCUUUUAUGAAUUUUUAAGAGCUUCCCAGAUGUUAAAAUUUACAUAGUAUGGAUAUACUCACAAGUUAAGUGGUUUUGUUUUUGGUUUGUUUUUUUUUUUUUUACAGACAGGAAUGAUGUAUAAACAUGGUGAAAGUCUGUAAUGUGCUCAGUUGCCUAAAGCUGAACUUCUUGCCAGGCACCAUAACAAUUUUGUGUCAAAAAAUAGUCUGUAAUGUUUUCCUUCUUUUCUUGGAGGGCUGCAUGUUCAUGAAAUCUGUUCACGUGUUGUGAUUUUGUGACAACUUAUUUUAUACUAUCAGACAGGAUUAUGCAGUUAUGUCCUACUUGAAGAUGAAGGAGAAAAAUGAAUGGCUGGAUUAUGGAAAUGAUAGCCAAAAUCUCUUCUUUACUACUUUAUAGAAUCAAGUUUAACUGCUUCAUGGUUAAUAUUUCAAUCAAAGGUAGAGGCUGCUAAGUUGUAACUCUCAGGUGUCCUGUCAUAGGUAAUAGUAGAGGGCCUUUCUUAACUGGUUAACUGCUAAGAAUUUGUUUGUCAACCCUUUCAGGGUAGGUAUCUGACCAUGGGCAUAGAAAACUUCCCCUCAACUGUUGAAAGACAUUUGGCAUAGACCAUGGAACAGCUGAAACAGUUAUAACACUUUUGUACCUACAGUAUAUAACCAUUUUGGAAUAAAUUAAAGAAUUCAGUCUGUAGCCAGGAAUCAUAAACAGUCUUAAGCAAAGUUGAAUGUUGGGAUUUAAUGGUUUCUAGUGUAGCAUAUGACUUUGAGUGUAAAAGUGGUAUUACUUUGAUAACUGGUUACCAUAAAUGCAAGGUCUUUUUCCAAAAGAGGUGGUACUCUUCUUCUAGAUUCUUUUCCAGGUUUAAUGCAGAAGCCAAAUAACCAGGCAUUGUUGAUUCCAUUGGCUCCAAUCUAAGCAUGGAAAUGUAGACUAUAUUCCAAAACAAUUAUCUAUAUACUGUUGUAUUUUAAAGAAAUAGCCUAAUUCUUUCUACAGCUUGUAGGCUAUAAAUGAGCAUGUAUUCAAUUUAAAUUUCCAUUGAGGAAAUGUGAAUUGAGUGUUUUAGCUUAUCAGCACUAUAUGUUGUCAGACUGUAAAGCAGUAAAAUUUUUGAAUGAUUAAA